AUGCAGCGCUGGCCAUGGCGGAUGCUGCGGUGCAACGUUUGGCAGCGAUGGGUGCUGCGACGCAGCACGGCGUCCAUGGCGGAAACUCCAAGACAGCACGCGACGACGGCGAAAGCUGCGAUGCAGCACCGGCGGCCAUGGAGGAUGCUCAGAAGAAACGUUGCCGGAGACAGGUGGUGCGACGCAGCGCGAGAUGACGCCGGCGGCCAUGGCGAAAGCUGCAAUGCAGCGCCGGUGGCCAUGGCGAAAGCUGUGAUGCAGCGCCGACGGCCAUGGCGAAAGGCUGCGAUGCAACACGGGAUGUGCGCGGGGCGGCGCCGUCGCCUACGGCGGGUGCUGCGAUGCAGCUCGACGGCGACGGGAGCUGCGAUGCAAGGCGACGGCAGAUUGCAGCGGCAACGGGUGACGAAGGGAAUGAGAUGCGUGUGUGGUUGA
This 435-nucleotide ribosomal RNA is filed under the name Triticum aestivum (bread wheat). Its description in RNAcentral is "partial small subunit ribosomal RNA". Lineage: Eukaryota; Viridiplantae; Streptophyta; Magnoliopsida; Poales; Poaceae. The record is from RNAcentral.